GAACGCUGGCGGCGUGCCUAACACAUGCAAGUCGAACGAGAAAGCGGGCUUCGGUCCGUGAGUAAAGUGGCAGACGGGUGAGUAACACGUGGGUAACCUGCCCGGAGGUGGGGGAUAACCUUUCGAAAGGAAGGCUAAUACCGCAUAACAUCUCGGACUCUUCGGGGACCGAGAUCAAAGCUAGCCUCUGUUUCAUGCUAGCGCCACCGGAGGGGCCCGCGCCCCAUUAGCUUGUUGGUGAGGUAACGGCUCACCAAGGCUACGAUGGGUAGCCGGCCUGAGAGGGCGAUCGGCCACACUGGAACUGAGACACGGUCCAGACUCCUACGGGAGGCGGCAGUGAGGAAUUUUGCGCAAUGGGCGAAAGCCUGACGCAGCGACGCCGCGUGGAGGACGAAGGCCUUCGGGUCGUAAACUCCUGUCAAGUGGGACGAACCCUGCGGGGAUGAAUAAGCCUCGCAGCUGACGGUACCACUGAAGGAAGCCCCGGCUAACUCCGUGCCAGCAGCCGCGGUAAU
Molecule: ribosomal RNA, 518 nt
Filed under: uncultured bacterium
Lineage: Bacteria
Description: bacterial SSU rRNA
Rfam family: Bacterial small subunit ribosomal RNA
Source: RNAcentral